This 1346-nucleotide ribosomal RNA is filed under the name uncultured bacterium. Its description in RNAcentral is "bacterial SSU rRNA". It matches the Rfam family "Bacterial small subunit ribosomal RNA", at positions 28 to 1381 of the family's 1533-position model. The record is from RNAcentral.
GACGAACGCUGGCGGCGUGCUUAACACAUGCAAGUCGAACGGAAAGGCCCUGCUUUUGUGGGGUGCUCGAGUGGCGAACGGGUGAGUAACACGUGAGUAACCUGCCCUUGACUUUGGGAUAACUUCAGGAAACUGGGGCUAAUACCGGAUAGGAGCUCCUGCUGCAUGGUGGGGGUUGGAAAGUUCCGGCGGUUGGGGAUGGACUCGCGGCUUAUCAGCUUGUUGGUGGGGUAGUGGCUUACCAAGGCUUUGACGGGUAGCCGGCCUGAGAGGGUGACCGGCCACAUUGGGACUGAGAUACGGCCCAGACUCCUACGGGAGGCAGCAGUGGGGAAUAUUGCACAAUGGGCGGAAGCCUGAUGCAGCAACGCCGCGUGCGGGAUGACGGCCUUCGGGUUGUAAACCGCUUUCGCCUGUGACGAAGCGUGAGUGACGGUAAUGGGUAAAGAAGCACCGGCUAACUACGUGCCAGCAGCCGCGGUGAUACGUAGGGUGCGAGCGUUGUCCGGAUUUAUUGGGCGUAAAGGGCUCGUAGGUGGUUGAUCGCGUCGGAAGUGUAAUCUUGGGGCUUAACCCUGAGCGUGCUUUCGAUACGGGUUGACUUGAGGAAGGUAGGGGAGAAUGGAAUUCCUGGUGGAGCGGUGGAGUGCGCAGAUAUCAGGAGGAACACCAGUGGCGAAGGCGGUUCUCUGGGCCUUUCCUGACGCUGAGGAGCGAAAGCGUGGGGAGCGAACAGGCUUAGAUACCCUGGUAGUCCACGCUGUAAACGGUGGGUACUAGGUGUGGGGUCCAUUCCACGGGUUCCGUGCCGUAGCUAACGCUUUAAGUACCCCGCCUGGGGAGUACGGCCGCAAGGCUAAAACUCAAAGGAAUUGACGGGGCCCCGCACAAGCGGCGGAGCAUGCGGAUUAAUUCGAUGCAACGCGUAGAACCUUACCUGGGUUUGACAUGGAUCGGGAGUGCUCAGAGAUGGGUGUGCCUCUUUUGGGGUCGGUUCACAGGUGGUGCAUGCCUGUCGUCAGCUCGUGUCGUGAGAUGUUGGGUUAAGUCCCGCAACGAGCGCAACCCUUGUUCACUGUUGCCAGCACGUUAUGGUGGGGACUCAGUGGAGACCGCCGGGGUCAACUCGGAGAAAGGUGGGGAUGACGUCAAGUCCUCAUGCCCCUUAUGUCCAGGGCUUCACGCAUGCUACAAUGGCUGGUACAGAGAGUGGCGAGCCUGUGAGGGUGAGCGAAUCUCGGAAAGCCGGUCUCAGUUCGGAUUGGGGUCUGCAACUCGACCUCAUGAAGUCGGAGUCGCUAGUAAUCGCAGAUCAGCAACGCUGCGGUGAAUACGUUCCCGGGGCU